UACGGGGGGAGCAAGCGUUGUUCGGAUUUACUGGGCGUAAAGGGCGCGUAGGCGGCCUGUGCAAGUCAGUUGUGAAAUCUCCGAGCUUAACUCGGAACGGUCAACUGAUACUGCUCGGCUAGAGUGCGGAAGGGGCAACUGGAAUUCUUGGUGUAGCGGUGAAAUGCGCAGAUAUCAGGAGGAACACCAAUGGCGAAGGCAGCACUCUGGGACGUGACUGACGCUGAGACGCGAAAGCGUGGGGAGCAAACAGG
RNAcentral lists this ribosomal RNA (254 nucleotides) under uncultured bacterium. RNAcentral describes it as "partial 16S ribosomal RNA". It matches the Rfam family "Bacterial small subunit ribosomal RNA", at positions 524 to 776 of the family's 1533-position model. The record is from RNAcentral.